This 283-nucleotide long non-coding RNA is filed under the name Mytilus galloprovincialis (Mediterranean mussel). Lineage: Eukaryota; Metazoa; Mollusca; Bivalvia; Mytilida; Mytilidae. The record is from RNAcentral.
GGGCUUUAUUCAUAAAAAAAGGGGGAUUUUUAACACUUCGGACAAUAACUCAAAAAGGCUUUCACCAAUGUCCAUGAAACUUUGGUGAAUUGUUUAUAUCUAUUGAUGUAAGCUCCCUUUCAACUUUUAUAAAUUUCAGAUUUUACAUUUCCGUGUUAUGAAUUUUUAUGCUUAAAAAAGGGGGGAUUUUCCCAUUUUGGGACAAUACAUUUAAAGCAUAAAAGACAAGUUAAAAGAGCAACGGGCGUAUCAUGCGCUAAAGCGCAGCCCUUUAUAUAAAUUU